CAAUCCUCCAGCGUCAGCCUCCCAAAAGCGCUGGAAUUACAGGAACAGCAAAGCAAAGAGUGGACCUCAAGUGAUAUCUUUGAAUUUUGGAGGAAAAAAAACAAACCUAAAGAGAUGGUUUUAUUUUUCCUAAAUAUCCAGAAUGAAAAUCUAUACUGAAAAAUGAAAAUCUAUACUGAAAGCCAAAAUUGGAUGACUCUUUACCAUACUUCCAAAUAUGAAACACUGUAUUCAUUCUGCCUCCAAAUUCUACACUCCAGUAUCCAACCAAUUCAGAGUGAGCUGUCCGAAGAUGAG
This is a long non-coding RNA of Nomascus leucogenys (northern white-cheeked gibbon), 297 nucleotides long. RefSeq lists it as uncharacterized. The record is from RefSeq and is a predicted model, not a curated record. Lineage: Eukaryota; Metazoa; Chordata; Mammalia; Primates; Hylobatidae. The transcript is spliced from 3 exons.